UACGUAGGGGGCAAGCGUUGUCCGGAAUCAUUGGGCGUAAAGAGCGUGUAGGCGGCCCGGUAAGUCCGCUGUGAAAGUCCAGGGCUCAACCCUGGGAUGCCGGUAGAUACUGUCGGGCUCGAGUCCGGAAGAGGAGUGUGGAAUUCCUGGUGUAGCGGUGAAAUGCGCAGAUAUCAGGAGGAACACCAAUGGCGAAGGCAGCACUCUGGGACGUGACUGACGCUGAGACGCGAAAGCGUGGGGAGCAAACAGG
RNAcentral lists this ribosomal RNA (253 nucleotides) under uncultured bacterium. RNAcentral describes it as "partial 16S ribosomal RNA". It matches the Rfam family "Bacterial small subunit ribosomal RNA", at positions 524 to 776 of the family's 1533-position model. The record is from RNAcentral.